UUUUAUGGAGAGUUUGAUCCUGGCUCAGGAUGAACGCUGGCGGCGUGCCUAAUACAUGCAAGUCGAGCGAACGGACGAGAAGCUUGCUUCUCUGAUGUUAGCGGCGGACGGGUGAGUAACACGUGGAUAACCUACCUAUAAGACUGGGAUAACUUCGGGAAACCGGAGCUAAUACCGGAUGAUAUUUUGAACCGCAUGGUUCAAAAGUGAAAGACGGUCUUGCUGUCACUUAUAGAUGGAUCCGCGCUGCAUUAGCUAGUUGGUAAGGUAACGGCUUACCAAGGCAACGAUGCAUAGCCGACCUGAGA
Molecule: ribosomal RNA, 308 nt
Filed under: Staphylococcus aureus
Lineage: Bacteria; Bacillati; Bacillota; Bacilli; Caryophanales; Staphylococcaceae
Description: bacterial SSU rRNA
Rfam family: Bacterial small subunit ribosomal RNA
Source: RNAcentral